GGAGUUUUAUGUUUUAAAAUAAUUUUAACAGUCAUCUGAACCGAAGGAACAGAGCGUUAAUCUGGAAACAUACGGUCAGAACGUGAUAUAAGAACGGGAGAAAUAGGAAGAUGCGUUGCACCGCGCGUCCGGAUAAACGAAAAGUGAUUUUGCAACAUCUGUAAUAGGCUCUGUAUAAUACGCGUACGUGGUUCAGAUUUGAUAGGAGUUGUAUUUUGUACGGUUGGCGUAACUUUUAGAAACUUAGCAGAAGUUUUUGGCGGUUUUAUGUUGUAAUUUUUAGGACGCUGCUCUUCUUAACUUAUACGUAAAUUGGUUAAGAUAAUUAUUUUAUUUUUUUAUUUAAGAAGUAGCAGGUUAACGUGUAGCAUAUGUGCAAACUUUGUUUGCUCUUUUUAUUUGACAUAAAACAUCAAAUUAACCAAUAGGCCUAUAACAAUUAGAAUAGGAAUGAUAAUACAGGGUAAGCAAUGAAACGAUAUUCGUGGAACACGCUAUAGCGCUAAAUACACUAUAGUAUAUGCUACUAUAUUUUAAUGUUUAAACCAAGUUUGGACAAUUUUAUAUUAACAUUUUUAUCAGAAACAAUAAAGAUGGCCAAAAUUUCAUUGAUUUUAUUGCUUGUUGUUGUCUUAAUGCAUUGUGCAAGUGCUGAUCCAUACUGGGGAAACACAAAUACUCAUAUUCGUCGGAGAGUCGUCACUCCAACACCAGCACCUACUCCAGCGCCCACAACUCGACGCAGACGCCGCCGAUGGGGAUGGAAUAAUGUUGAAGCUUCGGAAGAAACCGACCAGGUACAAGAACUUGAAGAUAUUCUGAACGAAGAAUAAUUUGUUGUUUUAUUGACCAAUUUAAAGUUAUUUAUGCGGAUUGACUGUUCGAGGAAAAAGUUUUCUGUUUAUUGUUUGAUCGGAACGUGCGGGAAAAAAGCAAUUUAAUAAAAGGCCAAAAUUACGGAAAUACAA
Molecule: non-coding RNA, 968 nt
Organism: Ciona intestinalis (vase tunicate)
Lineage: Eukaryota; Metazoa; Chordata; Ascidiacea; Phlebobranchia; Cionidae
Source: RefSeq, a predicted model, not a curated record